GUGACAUACCUAUAACUGUUGCUUCGGCGGGUAGGGUCUCCGUGACCCUCCCGGCCUCCCGCCCCCGGGCGGGUCGGCGCCCGCCGGAGGAUAACCAAACUCUGAUUUAACGACGUUUCUUCUGAGUGGUACAAGCAAAUAAUCAAAACUUUUAACAACGGAUCUCUUGGUUCUGGCAUCGAUGAAGAACGCAGCGAAAUGCGAUAAGUAAUGUGAAUUGCAGAAUUCAGUGAAUCAUCGAAUCUUUGAACGCACAUUGCGCCCGCCAGCAUUCUGGCGGGCAUGCCUGUUCGAGCGUCAUUUCAACCCUCAAGCUCUGCUUGGUGUUGGGGCCCUACAGCUGAUGUAGGCCCUCAAAGGUAGUGGCGGACCCUCCCGGAGCCUCCUUUGCGUAGUAACUUUACGUCUCGCACUGGGAUCCGGAGGGACUCUUGCCGUAAAACCCCCAAUUUUCCAAAGGUUGACCUCGGAUCAGGUAGGAAUACCCGCUGAACUUAAGCAUAUCAAUAAGCGGAGGAA
RNAcentral lists this ribosomal RNA (519 nucleotides) under Colletotrichum gloeosporioides. Its description in RNAcentral is "eukaryotic LSU rRNA". The stretch from base 147 to 300 matches the Rfam family "5.8S ribosomal RNA". The record is from RNAcentral. Lineage: Eukaryota; Fungi; Ascomycota; Sordariomycetes; Glomerellales; Glomerellaceae. RNAcentral also lists the same sequence under 1 other name.